Molecule: long non-coding RNA, 1511 nt
Filed under: Malus domestica (apple)
Lineage: Eukaryota; Viridiplantae; Streptophyta; Magnoliopsida; Rosales; Rosaceae
Description: long non-coding RNA (MDOM_LNC008727)
Source: RNAcentral
CACAGCACAGCCGCUUAUUCUCACAGCAGCUUUUUUUCAAAGCACAGCAAUACCAAACUAGCCCUUACAAAGAUGGUACAACGGCUUACCAUUAGCCACACAAUUGCGGUUCUCCUUUUAACUUGCAUCUUGCCACCGACCUGAAUAAUAUUGUCGGAUUUUUAUCGCAAAUAAUCCUUGAAAUUGACUCUCACCAUCAAGAUAGUCUCUGAAAUUGAAAAUCAAUCAAUAUAGUCCCUGAAAAUAAGUGUCGUAAAUCAAUGUGAUCAUUUCGUUACAAAUCUGUUAAAAAUUCCGUUAAGUGUUGAUGUGGCACAUAAAUGGGUCUCAUAAGUCAUUUUUCUCAUAAAUGGUCCUUCAAAUUAACUCGUGGCAUCAAAAUAGUCCCUGAAAUUGACAUGCGACAUCAAAAUGGUCCUUGAAAUUGAAAAUCGAUCAAUGUAGUUUCUCAAGUAAGUGUCCCAAAUUAAUGUAGUCAUUCCGUCACAAUUCUGUCAAAAAUUCUAUUAUGUGCUGAUGUAACACAUAAAUGGAUCACACAAAUCUAAUUAAAUUUAAAAAAUUACAAAUAGGUUUAAUAAUUUAAUAGUUAAUAAAAAGUUAUGAUCCCAAAACCCAGUCCUGCAAUCACAUCCAAUCCCAGUCCACAUUCCUCUACCUCAUUCGUUGUCUAUUCUCUAAAAAAUCUCAAUACACCCAUCUUUACACACUUCGACACCCUUCACCGAAUUGAACCUAGAUCAAGAUCACCUUUGGUGAGGGUCAAUUUCAUUGUGCAACCUAGACCGACACAUUUCGACACUCUAUUCGAAGUAGGUCCUACUAUAAGGAAAAAAAAAAUCUAUUGUGCAAAAAGGUAUUUAGACAACUUUUUAAAUUAUUUAUUAAACCUACAUCAACACAUAACGUUUUUUUUUUACAGAAUUGUGGCAAAAUGAUCAUAUUGAUUUAUGACACCUAUUUUCAAGGACUACAUUCAUAGAUUUUCAAUUUUAAGAACCAUCUUAAUGGUGUGGGUCAAUUUCAUGGACUAUUGAUGUUGUGAGUCAAUUUCAGGGCUCAUUUAUGUGUCACAUCAGCACUUAACAAAAAUUUUAACAGCAUUGUGACGGAAGGACCACAUUGAUUUGCGACACCGGGACUACAUUGAUUGAUUUUCAAUUUCAGGGACCAUCUUGAUGGUGAGGGUAAAUUCUAGGGACCAUUUGUGAUAAAAACCCUAAUAUUACUUAUUAGAAGUGGAACCACUCAACAUAUAUUGUAAUUUUAAUUUUUUUAUAUGAAAUUUUGGUAUUCUUCAACACACUCCCUCAUGUGAAACCACCAAAAAGUGGAUCACAAGUGACAUCAAUCAUUCAAGCACAAAAUCUAGGCAAUGUAGUAAACACGAUAAUUCAGGCAAAACAAAAUAAAAAUCCAAUUCAAGCCUAGUAAAAAAAAAAAACCCCCCGCAUUGAGAUCAUGUACAACGAAUAUAGUUUUAGUUUUUGCAUAUUGAACAUUGUUCUAAA